RNAcentral lists this ribosomal RNA (497 nucleotides) under uncultured bacterium. RNAcentral describes it as "partial 16S ribosomal RNA". It matches the Rfam family "Bacterial small subunit ribosomal RNA", at positions 28 to 507 of the family's 1533-position model. The record is from RNAcentral.
GAUGAACGCUGGCGACGUGCCUAAUACAUGCAAGUCGAGCGAACAGACGAGGAGCUUGCUCCUCUGACGUUAGCGGCGGACGGGUGAGUAACACGUGGAUAACCUACCUAUAAGACUGGGAUAACUUCGGGAAACCGGAGCUAAUACCGGAUAAUAUAUUGAACCGCAUGGUUCAAUAGUGAAAGACGGUUUUGCUGUCACUUAUAGAUGGAUCCGCGCCGCAUUAGCUAGUUGGUAAGGUAACGGCUUACCAAGGCGACGAUGCGUAGCCGACCUGGGAGGGUGAUCGGCCACACUGGAACUGAGACACGGUCCAGACUCCUACGGGAGGCAGCAGUAGGGAAUCUUCCGCAAUGGGCGAAAGCCUGACGGAGCAACGCCGCGUGAGUGAUGAAGGUCUUCGGAUCGUAAAACUCUGUUAUUAGGGAAGAACAAAUGUGUAAGUAACUAUGCACGUCUUGACGGUACCUAAUCAGAAAGCCACGGCUAACUACGUG